UUUUAUAUAUAUAAUAGUUCUGUUUAUGGUAUGUAUUAUGUAUAAUUAAUUUUCUAAUGAAACUUUCUCAAACAAUAUAGCUUAUUAGAAAAACUCCCUUUAAAAAAUACAAAGUGUAUGUAUACAUUGAUAUAAGGUUAUCACAUUUGAAUUCACCACGUGUUGAUCAAGCGACGUGGUCAUAUGACGGGCGCAUUGAUCGGGCGUCGGGCCGCGGACCGGUCAGUCGUUGUGCAGAUCAUAACCAUAACCUAUAACAUGCAACAGCCGACUCAACGUGUUCAAUCUUGUUUUCAAGCGAAAUUGUAAUCUUUGAAGUCUUGUGAGAGCAAAUUUCUAGCAAGAUCCGUGGAAAUAAUCUAAUAGCCAAUAUAAGAAAAAGAGCAAUGUUAUAUUAUAAUUCAAAAUGGAGGAUACUGCAAAACCAGUAGAUGUCUUCGUCGCAAAAAUUAAAAACCAGUAAUGAGAGGUUGCUGCUGUACAGUCUGUAUUCCCUAAAAUAAUUACAAAUUUCCUUGCCAGAUGUAUAAACUGGGGAGGCACCCAGAAGACCAAAAUUGCGUUUAAUAGCAGCAAAACAUAUGAGGCUAUUCAAGCCACUAUUUUGCUGAAGUUUGGUAAUACAAUCUAGAUCUAGAUUAACCCGAAAAUUGGCGAUGGUUUAGCGCAAGUGCUCAGCAAGUGGUGUAAAUGCGUUUCAUAAAAAUAGAUAUUGCUAAAAUGUGAUAUAUAUACAUAUAUAUUAUUAGUACUUGUUUUACGCAGCAAUUUAUAUAAUGUGCAAUUUAACUAUAUAAAAUAGAUAUAUAAGCAGGCAUAAUCUACAAUA
Long non-coding RNA from Solenopsis invicta (red fire ant), 829 nucleotides. RefSeq lists it as uncharacterized. The record is from RefSeq and is a predicted model, not a curated record. Lineage: Eukaryota; Metazoa; Arthropoda; Insecta; Hymenoptera; Formicidae. The transcript has 4 exons.